RNAcentral lists this transfer RNA (55 nucleotides) under Ixodes uriae (common seabird tick). The record is from RNAcentral. Lineage: Eukaryota; Metazoa; Arthropoda; Arachnida; Ixodida; Ixodidae.
AAUAAAAUGCCUGAAAAAGGGUUAUCUUGAUAGGAUAAAUCAUGUGAUUUCUCUC